This 664-nucleotide ribosomal RNA is filed under the name uncultured Vibrionaceae bacterium. Its description in RNAcentral is "bacterial SSU rRNA". It matches the Rfam family "Bacterial small subunit ribosomal RNA", at positions 28 to 671 of the family's 1533-position model. Lineage: Bacteria; Pseudomonadati; Pseudomonadota; Gammaproteobacteria; Vibrionales; Vibrionaceae. The record is from RNAcentral.
AUUGAACGCUGGCGGCAGGCUUAACACAUGCAAGUCGAGCGGAAACGAGUUAUCUGAACCUUCGGGGAACGAUAACGGCGUCGAGCGGCGGACGGGUGAGUAAUGCCUAGGAAAUUGCCCCGAUGUGGGGGAUAACCAUUGGAAACGAUGGCUAAUACCGCAUAAUGCCUUCGGGCCAAAGAGGGGGACCUUCGGGCCUCUCGCGUCAGGAUAUGCCUAGGUGGGAUUAGCUAGUUGGUGAGGUAAAGGCUCACCAAGGCGACGAUCCCUAGCUGGUCUGAGAGGAUGAUCAGCCACACUGGAACUGGGACACGGUCCAGACUCCUACGGGAGGCAGCAGUGGGGAAUAUUGCACAAUGGGCGCAAGCCUGAUGCAGCCAUGCCGCGUGUGUGAAGAAGGCCUUCGGGUUGUAAAGCACUUUCAGUCGUGAGGAAGGCAGUACAGUUAAUAGCUGUAUUGUUUGACGUUAGCGACAGAAGAAGCACCGGCUAACUCCGUGCCAGCAGCCGCGGUAAUACGGAGGGUGCGAGCGUUAAUCGGAAUUACUGGGCGUAAAGCGCAUGCAGGUGGUUUGUUAAGUCAGAUGUGAAAGCCCGGGGCUCAACCUCGGAAUAGCAUUUUGAACUGGCAGACUAGAGUCCUGUAGAGGGGGGUAGAAUUUCA